This 360-nucleotide ribosomal RNA is filed under the name Spirulina sp. D4. RNAcentral describes it as "bacterial SSU rRNA". It matches the Rfam family "Bacterial small subunit ribosomal RNA", at positions 407 to 784 of the family's 1533-position model. Lineage: Bacteria; Bacillati; Cyanobacteriota; Cyanophyceae; Spirulinales; Spirulinaceae. The record is from RNAcentral.
GAGGAGGCCCUUGGGUCGUAACCACUUUUCUUAGGGAAGAAGCUCUGACGGUACCUAAGGAAUAAGCCUCGGCUAACUCCGUGCCAGCAGCCGCGGUAAUACGGAGGAGGCAAGCGUUAUCCGGAAUUAUUGGGCGUAAAGAGUCCGUAGGUGGUCAUUCAAGUCUGCUGUUAAAGGCGGAAGCUCAACUUCCGACAGGCAGUGGAAACUGGAUGACUGGAGUAUGGUAGGGGUAGAGGGAAUUCCCAGUGUAGCGGUGAAAUGCGUAGAGAUUGGGAAGAACACCGGUGGCGAAAGCGCUCUACUGGGCCGUAACUGACACUGAGGGACGAAAGCUAGGGUAGCGAAAGGGAUUAGAUA